GUUUGAUCAUGGCUCAGAUUGAACGCUGGCGGGAUGCUUUACACAUGCAAGUCGAACGGCAGCCUGGACUUCGGUCUGGUGGCGAGUGGCGAACGGGUGAGUAAUGUAUCGGAACGUGCCUAGUAGCGGGGGAUAACGCGGCAGCAGCUAAUACCGCAUACGCCCUUCGGGAAAGCGGGGGACCUUCGGGCCUCGCACUAUUAGAGCAGCCGAUAUCGGAUUAGCUAGUUGGUGGGGAGUAACGGCCCACCGGGCGACGAUCCGUAGCUGGUUUGAAGGACGACCAGCCCACCAGGGACUGAACCACGGCCCAGACUCCUACGGGGAGGCAGCAGUGGGGAAUUUUGGACAAUGGGGAAACCUGAUCCAGCCAUCCCGCGUGUGCGAUGAGGCCUUCGGUUGUAAAGCACUUUUGGCAGGAAAGAAACGGCACGGGAUAAUACCCCGUGCAACUGACAGUACCUGCAGAAUAAGACACCGGCUAACUACAUGCCAGCAGCCGCGGUAAUACAGCAGGGUGCAAGCGUUAAUCGGAAUUACUGAGGCAUAAAGCGCUUGCGCAGGCGGUUCGGGAAAGAAGAUGUGAAAUCCCAGAGCUUAACUUUGGAACUGCAUUUUUAACUACCGAGCUAGAGUGUGUCAGGGAGGUGGAAUUCCGCGUGUAGCAGUGAAAUGCGUAGAUAUGCGGAGGAACACCGAUGGCGAAGGCAGCCUCCUGGGAUAACACUGACGCUCAUGCACGAAAGCGUGGGGGAGCAAACGGAUUAAGAUACCUGGUAGUCCACGCUAAACGAUGUCAACUAGCUGUUGGGGCCUUCGGGCCUUGGUAGCGCAACUAACGCGUGAAGUUGACCGCCUGGGGAGUACGGUCGCAAGAUUAAAACUCAAAGGAAUUGACGAAAGGGACCCGCACAAGCGGUGGAUGAUGUGGAUUAAUUCGAUGCAACGCGAAAAACCUUACCUACCCGCGACACAUGUCUGGAAUCCCGAAGAGAUUUGAGUGCUCGCAAGAGAACCGGAACACAGGUGCUGCAUGGCUGUCGUCAGCUCGUGUCGUGAGAUGUUGGGUUAAGUCCGCAACAGCGGCGCAACCCUUGUCAUUAGUUGCGAAGGGGCACUCUAUUGAGACUGCCGGUGACAAACCGGAGGAAGGUGGGGAUGACGUCAAGUCCUCAUGGCCCUUAUGGGUAGGGCUUCACACGUCAUACAAUGGUCGGGACAGAGGGUCGCCAACCCGCGAGGGGGAGCCAAUCCCAGAAACCCGAUCGUAGUCCGGAUCACCAGUCUGCAACUCGACUGCGUGAAGUCGGAAUCGCUAGUAAUCGCGGAUCAGCAUGUCGCGGUGAAUCGUUCCAGGUCUUGUACACACCGCCCGUCACACCGUGGGAGUGGGUUUGCAAGUAGUUAGCCUAACCUGUGGGGAGGGCGAUUACCACGGUAGGAUUCAUGACUGGGGUGAAGUCGUAACAAGGUAA
Molecule: ribosomal RNA, 1475 nt
Filed under: uncultured Bordetella sp.
Lineage: Bacteria; Pseudomonadati; Pseudomonadota; Betaproteobacteria; Burkholderiales; Alcaligenaceae
Description: partial 16S-23S ribosomal RNA intergenic spacer
Rfam family: Bacterial small subunit ribosomal RNA
Source: RNAcentral